UCCCGCGUGGUCUAGCGGUUUGGAUUCCUGGCCUUCACCCAGGCGUCCCGGGUUCGACUCCCAACGCAGGAG
Molecule: non-coding RNA, 72 nt
Organism: Paragonimus kellicotti
Lineage: Eukaryota; Metazoa; Platyhelminthes; Trematoda; Plagiorchiida; Troglotrematidae
Source: the annotation of a GenBank genome assembly